CAGCAGCCACGGGAAUACGUAGGUGGCGAGCGUUGUCCGGAUUUAUUGGGCGUAAAGGGAGUGUAGGCGGUCUUUUAAGUCUGAUGUGAAAGCCCACGGCUCAACCGUGGAGGGUCAUUGGAAACUGGGAGACUUGAGUGCAGAAGAGGAGAGUGGAAUUCCACGUGUAGCGGUGAAAUGCGUAGAGAUGUGGAGGAACACCAGUGGCGAAGGCGACUCUCUGGUCUGUAACUGACGCUGAGGAGCGAAAGCGUGGGGAGCGAACAGGAUUAGAUACCCCAGUAGUCCCUGUCUCUUAUAC
RNAcentral lists this ribosomal RNA (301 nucleotides) under uncultured bacterium. RNAcentral's name for it is "partial 16S ribosomal RNA". It matches the Rfam family "Bacterial small subunit ribosomal RNA", at positions 509 to 807 of the family's 1533-position model. The record is from RNAcentral.